UACGUAGGCGGCAAGCGUUGUCCGGAAUUAUUGGGCGUAAAGGGAGCGCAGGCGGGAAACUAAGCGGAUCUUAAAAGUGCGGGGCUCAACCCCGUGAUGGGGUCCGAACUGGUUUCCUUGAGUGCAGGAGAGGAAAGCGGAAUUCCCAGUGUAGCGGUGAAAUGCGUAGAUAUUGGGAAGAACACCAGUGGCGAAGGCGGCUUUCUGGACUGUAACUGACGCUGAGGCUCGAAAGCUAGGGUAGCGAACGGG
RNAcentral lists this ribosomal RNA (252 nucleotides) under Megamonas funiformis YIT 11815. Its description in RNAcentral is "partial 16S ribosomal RNA". It matches the Rfam family "Bacterial small subunit ribosomal RNA", at positions 524 to 776 of the family's 1533-position model. The record is from RNAcentral. Lineage: Bacteria; Bacillati; Bacillota; Negativicutes; Selenomonadales; Selenomonadaceae.